GUUGCCAUCCACCUGACAUGUGUGGCCUAUCAAGAAACUGAUUAAACAGCAUGAUCAUUACACUGGUGCACCUUGUACUGGGGACAAUAAAAGGCCACUUCAAAAUGUGCAGUUUUGUCACACAACAAUACUACAGAUGUCUGAAGAAUUGACAUGCUGACUGCAUGGAGGUCCACCAGAGCUGUUGCCAGAUAAUUUAAUGUUAAUUUCUCUACCAUAAGCCACCACCCACGUUGUUUUAGAGAAUUUGGCAAUAUGUCAAACCUGCCUCACAACCGCAGACCAUGGUGUAGUGUGGGCAAUUUCCUGAUGUUAACGUUGUUAUCAGAGUGCUCCAUGGUGGCAGUGGGGUUAUGGUAUGGGCAAGCAUAAACUACAGACAACGGACACAAUUGCAUUUUAUCGAUGGCAAUUUGAAUGUGCAGUGAUACCGUGACGAGAUCCUAAGGCUGACCCUGAGGCUGGCCCUGAUCUGUUUCACCUGUAUUUGUGAUUGUCUCCACCCCCUCCAGGCGUCGCCCAUUAUCCCCUGUGCACUUAUAACUGUUUUUUUCUGUUUGUCUGUUGCCAAUUUGUCUUGUUUGUCAAGCUUACCAGUGUUCGUCCUGUCAUCUCCUGUCUUUUCCCAGCCUCUCUUUUUCUCAUCCUCCUGGUUUUUGACCCUUGCCUGCCCUGACCCUGUACCUGCCCGCCUGACCACUCUGCCCGUCCUUGACCCUGAGUCUGCCUGCCGUCCUGUACCUUUGCUCCACCUCUGGAUUACUGAACUCUGCCUGUUCCUGACCCUGAGCCUGCCUGCCUUGACCUGUCGUUUGCCUUCCCCCGAUGGUUACAGUAAUCAUUGUUACUUCACACAGUCUGCACUUGGGUCUUACCUUGAUUCCUGAUAGAGGGCCCAUGUCGUGCCAUUCAUCCACUGCCAUCACCUCAUAUUUCAGCAUGAUAAUGCACGGCCCCAAGACGCAAGGAUCUCUGGAACCGUAAAAUGUCUCAGUUCUUCAUCAUACAUGUCACCCAUUGAGCAUGUUUGGGAUGCUCUGAAUCGACGUGUACGACAGCAUAUUCCAGUUCCCGCCAAUGUCCAGCGACUUCACACAGACAUUGAAGAGGAGAGGGACAACAUUCCACAGGCCACAAUCAACAGCCUGAUCAACUCUAUGCAAAGAAGAUGUCGCACUGCGUGAGGAAAAUGUUUUGAAGGAUAGACUGAAGCGAGAUGUCCUCCUGAAGAAGAAAGUGAUUUAUGAAUCUCUGACUGACGAAGUCAAGACCAUAAUGUGCCCAUGUUAUGAGGAGGCUUCAAACAUAUCUGGAAAGGGAACCUUGACGAAGACUCAGGAACUGCUGGUCAAGCACAUCGACUCAUCGAAAACCUCAUGUUUGACAAUGCUCAGAAAAAGAUGUUGGAAGGUUUUGAGAACCUGAGGGAAUACAUAGAGCAGACGCUGAGAACCGAACUACUGGAGUCAUUGAAGCGGUCCCUGAAGACACCUAACAGUUUAUCUCUCCCAGAUGUCAGUGAGCAGUUGAAAAACAUGGAGAACUACAAAAUGUUGGCUCUAAGAGAUCGCACAAGCUGAAUCUGACUGCUGAGAAGAGUCGUAAGCAGUUGUUGUGACAUGAUGGUAAACCAUUCAAAACAAUUGGCUAUAAAAAUGUAUCACAUUUUCAGUAGCUUAUUAAUCAGUAGUUGUUAGUAUCAGUAGUUUUGCCAUAGUUAUUACUCUUAUGUUUACUGACGUGAUGAACGUGGUAUAAGCAGGUUAAACAUUUAGGGUCUAUCAGUUGUCUGAAAAAAUGCAACUCCGUAUUAGAUGCACCAUGAUGCUCAGAGAACUCAUAGCUCCUAGAUGUUUAUCCCUUACAUAUUCUAUACUCAAUGUGUUUAUCCCUUACAUAUUAUAUACUCAAUGUGUUGAUCCCUGACAUAUUAUAUACUCAAUGUGUUGAUCCCUGACAUAUUAUAUACUCAAUGUGUUGAUCCCUGACAUAUUAUAUACUCAAUGUGUUGAUCCCUUACAUAUUCUAUACUCAAUGUGUUGAUCCCUGACAUAUUAUAUACUCAAUGUGUUGAUCCCUGACAUAUUAUAUACUCAAUGUGUUGAUCCCUG
This is a long non-coding RNA of Oncorhynchus tshawytscha (Chinook salmon), 2111 nucleotides long. NCBI's taxonomy places the organism in Eukaryota, Metazoa, Chordata, Actinopteri, Salmoniformes, Salmonidae. The record is from Ensembl.